Molecule: long non-coding RNA, 2129 nt
Organism: Sarcophilus harrisii (Tasmanian devil)
Lineage: Eukaryota; Metazoa; Chordata; Mammalia; Dasyuromorphia; Dasyuridae
Exons: 2
Source: RefSeq, a predicted model, not a curated record
GGCGUGGGGCCCCUGACGGGCCCGCGGAGCGGGGAAGGGGCGAGGAGGGCGGGGCCCGGGAGCCUCCCGUCGCCCAUCCCGCACAAAGAAGGCGCAGGUGGCAGAGGCGGCGCGAGGACCCAGGGCCCUGCACACGGGCACGCGUGAUCUGAGGCCGUUUGUCCGAAGAAGACUUGGGGGUCCUAGCAGACUGCAAGCUCAGCAGCGGGAGUUCACUUCCUAGAAAAAGCCGGGUUUGCUGGUUCCAGCCCCUGUAAGAGUCCUCCUUGGGCUUAAGGGGACACAGUGAGAGGAGCAGGGACAGUCCACAGCAUUGACUCAGGUCCCUGCUGUGCGCUGGAGACUGUGCCAUACGUCGAAGGCAGCGCUACAGAAAAAGAAAGCCCUUGUCCUCAAGGAGCUUGCACUCCAACGGGGAAGAUACCUGAAGGGACAUCAUGGCAAGAACCAGAGAGGAAAGGGGCCCUUCGCUCAGAACGAACCCUAAAGGAAGAGGGAGGGGGGCAGGGCUGCAGGCAGCAAGAGGUCAUGCAUUGAGAACGCGACAAGCCCAUCUGGGGAAAGAAAUGAGAGGCAACAGUAGCUCAGUUGCUAGCUCUGCUUUGGAUGUUUGGACGGGGCUGGUUCCUUCUCUGGGCUCGUUUAUAAAACGGGAGAGCGGCCCUGGGUGAUUUAGGAUUUCCUCCGUCUAAGCCUAUGCCCCCGAUAAGUUACUGCCAAGAUCUGGGAACCUGGACGUGAGUGCUGAUUGGGGGGAGUCUGAGGAACUGGCCUGAGAGGGGCCUAGAGAUUUUAAGGUUAUCCCUUUAUCUGAAUGCCAGCUGCACCUGGAAGGUUAUUCUCAGAAAGUGUUAAUGCUGCUCCCAGGGUUCCCCCUCAUGAGGCAGGUGUCAUCUGGAGGCCUCUCAGGUGCUCAAACCAUUACUGAGAUUAGCAGGCUCUUCUAAAAAAGACUGCUUUUUAAAAGGUAGUGUCUUGUUUCUGCUCUGCUUCACAUUGGUUUCUCUCCCCUUCCCAUAAGUUUUUUUUCCAUUAGAAAAAGGGGUGGCAAUUCAACGAAAGACAUUUUUGCCAUUUUUCUUGAAUUGCUUUCCUCCCUAUCCAGGGAUAUUCUUGGCCAUUAAUGUGACAAGCGUGUAUCUCUUGUUAAUGUUUUGGCAGUUUUUAUAUUGAUAUCUUUUAGUUUGACAUCUUCCUAUCUUUCCCCUCCCUUCUAACAAAAAAUUUAAAGGAAAACAGAAAAGCAAUUCAGCACAGCUGCCCCACAUCUCAGCAAUGUCAUGUUCCCAAAUUGGAGAGUAGAAAGCAAGACAGAGGUCAUCUGGUCAUCCUUUUAUAGAAAUCUAAAACCUGACCCCAGUGUUUCCUCAGAGAUCUCUAAAGAGAGCCCGGUUUUCUCUGGAACACCAAGGCCUGAGUGAGGCUCCUUCCUUCCAUGGCGCCUCUGUAGUAAAAGAUCCUUCUCCAUCUCAUGGUUUAUCCAGUACUUGAAGCCAUCGUGUUUCUCCAGGUUGAAUGUGUCCCAUUCCUUCCACUUGUCCUUGUGUGCCAGAGCUCACCCAUUCCUAAUUGUCUUCUCUACUUUAUCGGUGUCCUCAAGUAUGUGGUGCCCAGAACUGGACUGGGGCUGCAAAUGAGAUCUGAGCAGGACAGGAGGAUUUACUGAUGCUCCUCUCCUUGGGGGCUCCAACCCUCUUCUUGCCGCCCAAGAUUGAUCCUCCUCACUAUUAACUCGUUGAGCUUGCAGUCCCCUUCAGCCCCCAGAUUGUUUUCAGAACUGCUAUCUAAAUGCACUGGUCAUGUUCAGAUCUUAUUUGAAAUUAAUUUUCACCCCUAGAUACAAGACUUGACAUUCAUCCUUAUUGAAUUUUCUUAUUAGAUUUAAGCUAAUGCUGUGGCUUGUUAUCCAGGGUUAGCUUUCUUCCAACUUGGUCCUCUGCAAGUUUGAGGGGGCCAUCUAGGCCUCCAUCCGAGUAAAAUGUGGACCUGUAGCUUAGUACAGGUUCUGGAGCGCUGAACCAUUAGCACGUUAUCUACUCUGAAAGGAGAGUCUGAGGUAUUUUAUGGAAAUGUAGAUAAAACAUCCUCUUCAUCUCCAAAUUCUAGCACUCAAUUCCUUUUUUUUGUAU